This 467-nucleotide ribosomal RNA is filed under the name uncultured bacterium. RNAcentral describes it as "partial 16S ribosomal RNA". It matches the Rfam family "Bacterial small subunit ribosomal RNA", at positions 29 to 507 of the family's 1533-position model. The record is from RNAcentral.
ACGAACGCUGGCGGCGUGCUUAACACAUGCACGUCGAACGGAAAGGCCCUGCUUUUGUGGGGUGCUCGAGUGGCGAACGGGUGAGUAACACGUGAGUAACCUGCCCUUGACUUUGGGAUAACUUCAGGAAGCUGGGGCUAAUACCGGAUAGGAGCUCCUGCUGCAUGGUGGGGGUUGGAAAGUUUCGGCGGUUGGGGAUGGACUCGCGGCUUAUCAGCUUGUUGGUGGGGUAGUGGCUUACCAAGGCUUUGACGGGUAGCCGGCCUGAGAGGGUGACCGGCCACAUUGGGACUGAGAUACGGCCCAGACUCCUACGGGAGGCAGCAGUGGGGAAUAUUGCACAAUGGGCGGAAGCCUGAUGCAGCAACGCCGCGUGCGGGAUGACGGCCUUCGGGUUGUAAACCGCUUUCGCCUGUGACGAAGCGUGAGUGACGGUAAUGGGUAAAGAAGCACCGGCUAACUACGUG